RNAcentral lists this ribosomal RNA (419 nucleotides) under bacterium. RNAcentral describes it as "partial 16S ribosomal RNA". It matches the Rfam family "Bacterial small subunit ribosomal RNA", at positions 355 to 776 of the family's 1533-position model. The record is from RNAcentral.
UGGGGGAUAUUGCACAAUGGGCGAAAGCCUGAUGCAGCGACGCCGCGUGGGGGAUGAAGGCCUUCGGGUUGUAAACUUCUUUUGCUCUGAACAAGGCAUGCUAAUGGGUGUGUUGAGUGUAGGGGUUGAUUAGCGCCGGCUAACUACGUGCCAGCAGCCGCGGUAAUACGUAGGGCGCGAGCGUUGUCCGGAAUUAUUGGGCGUAAAGGGCUUGUAGGUGGCUGGUUGCGUCUGUCGUGAAAGCUCAUGGCUUAACUGUGGGUUUGCGGUGGGUACGGGCUGGCUUGAGCGCAGUAGGGGAGGCUGGAAUUCCUGGUGUAGCGGUGGAAUGCGCAGAUAUCAGGAGGAAUACCGGUGGCGAAGGCGGGUCUCUGGGCUGUUACUGACACUGAGGAGCGAAAGCAUGGGGAGCGAACAGG